CUGUGGUGCAGUGUCCUACUCAGAAAGGUACUGAUCACUUAGAGGACAUGUAGUCACUGCCUUUCUGGGUAGAAUGAUGCCCAACAA
Equus caballus (horse) is the source of this 87-nucleotide non-coding RNA. The record is from Rfam. NCBI's taxonomy places the organism in Eukaryota, Metazoa, Chordata, Mammalia, Perissodactyla, Equidae.